AAAAGUCCUGUUUAUUUCUCAAGU
RNAcentral lists this non-coding RNA (24 nucleotides) under Cricetulus griseus (Chinese hamster). The record is from RNAcentral. Lineage: Eukaryota; Metazoa; Chordata; Mammalia; Rodentia; Cricetidae.